UACGUAGGGGGCUAGCGUUGUCCGGAAUCAUUGGGCGUAAAGAGCGUGUAGGCGGUCCGGUAAGUCCGCUGUGAAAGUCGGGGGCUCAACCCUCGAAUGCCGGUGGAUACUGUCGGGCUAGAGUACGGAAGAGGCGAGUGGAAUUCCAGGUGUAGCGGUGAAAUGCGUAGAUAUCUGGAGGAACACCGGUGGCGAAGGCGACGUCCUGGACCGGCAUUGACGCUGAGGCGCGAAAGCCAGGGGAGCAAACGGG
Molecule: ribosomal RNA, 253 nt
Filed under: uncultured bacterium
Lineage: Bacteria
Description: partial 16S ribosomal RNA
Rfam family: Bacterial small subunit ribosomal RNA
Source: RNAcentral